Long non-coding RNA from Neocloeon triangulifer, 827 nucleotides. RefSeq lists it as uncharacterized. The record is from RefSeq and is a predicted model, not a curated record. NCBI's taxonomy places the organism in Eukaryota, Metazoa, Arthropoda, Insecta, Ephemeroptera, Baetidae. The transcript is spliced from 4 exons.
GCAGCCGCCGACCAAAGAAGAUGGAGAGCGUCGCUUCUUUUGAAGAAAUUUGAGACAGAGAGACCACCGGGGAUGACAAUGGCUACAGCGAAUAUUUGAGCUAUGCAACCCGCUCAACAUGUAUGCUCAAAUGGUGGUCGGCGAAAAAAAGAGGCCAGCAACCGCGGAGAAAAAUCAAGAUUGGAGACCAUUUGAGGAGAAUAUUGUUGACAAUGCGGCACGGGAGAAUGGCCGGUGAGCCCCCGACAAUGAUCGUCGCAACUAAUGUUCCAUUUUGGGGUGGAAACAACAAAAGCAGCAGUGGAGAAGAGCGGCGUCGAAUGCCACAAGAGACGAGCGAGCUGGGAAGAUUUAGCCUCAGGGCGCGUUUCAAAUGCCAAGCCAGAGAAUUUUCAACGCUACAGAAUAGCUCAUUAAGCUUUAAAAGCGCUCUUCAGACCACAAAACGGUCUUAAUGACAAAAAUUCAGCUGUGUUAUGUGACUUAAUUCUCUAUACGGGCUCUAACAAAUGUCUUGCUGGUUAAUUUAAGCAUUACUGUUAUAUUGUAGUGGUGGUAAAUUGUCAAUCAUGUUUUACAUGUUUUAAAAAUAAUUUUUUUAAAUUAUCUGCUGUUCACUCGGAAUAACUUUAAAUUACAAUGUAAACUGAUAUAAUAAAACUUACCUGUAUCACAUGGAGGAAUUUGAAGUAUCCAAAUGGCUUAUCUGAAACAAAAAUAUUAAUUAAAAAUAAAUUGUAUUUACACAUUGAUUUGUUUGUGGAAAUAUGCCUCAUGCUAUACACAAAUUUUGAGGACAAUGAUGGUGAAUUUAUCAUAUAAAUAGU